This 468-nucleotide ribosomal RNA is filed under the name uncultured bacterium. Its description in RNAcentral is "partial 16S ribosomal RNA". It matches the Rfam family "Bacterial small subunit ribosomal RNA", at positions 28 to 507 of the family's 1533-position model. The record is from RNAcentral.
GACGAACGCUGGCGGCGUGCUUAACACAUGCAAGUCGAACGGAAAGGCCCUGCUUUUGUGGGGUGCUCGAGUUGCUAACUUUUUAUUAACACUUGAUUAACCUGCCCUUUACUUUGUUAUAACUUCAGGAAACUGUUGCUACUACCGGAUAGGAUCUCCUUCUGCAUGGUGGGUGUUGGAACGUUUCGGCGGUUGGGUAUGGACUCGCGGCUUAUCAGCUUUUUGGUGGGGUAGUGGCUUACCAAGGCUUUGACGGGUAGCCGGACUGAGAGGGUGACCGGCAACAUUGGGACUGAGAUAAGGCACAGACUCCUACGGGAGGCAGCAGUGGGGAAUAUUGCACAAUGGGCGGAAGCAUGAUGCAGCAAAGCAGCGUGCGGGAUGACGGCCUUCGGGGUGUAAAAAGCUUUCGCCUGUGACGAAGCGUGAGUGACGGUAAUGGGUAAAGAAGCACCGGCUAACUACGUG